CGCACGUGUGCAUGCACGUACAGGUCUUUGCCUGCAUGUGUCAGCCAGUGCCUGCCUGUGCUGCCUGUGUGGUACGAGCAGGUGUGUCUCCGUGCGUUUACCUGUGAGAUGUCUGUGUGUUCACUUCCCUAUAUCCCCGGGUUUAUGUUGUGUGUGUGUUUGUGUAGAAUCACAACAAUGAGGAAAUGCGUAUGUAGACACCCCUGACUUCUUGACGAUCUGUUUAACAGGUUUCGGAGGCGUCUAUUUACCUCUCGUUGGAACUGCUCUGCUCUGCGCUGCAAUUUCAUCUUCCAUUGCAUCAAACGAGUACCCGGUGAUGCCGAUGCUGCUGGCUCCUGGGUGCUACUUUGAGGAGCCAUCUUCGAAGACCGGUGGAAGUGCUUUGUACUGUUUGUACCUUUUGGAAAUGUUGUGUGAUCAUCAACAAGUCAACUCACCCGUCUUGGUCUCAGUUUCCCCAUCCGUCAAAUGGACAAGAUGUCACCAUCAUAGGAUGGGCGGAGAGGCCUAAGCAACACAAUGGAUGCAAAGUGCCUGGCCCAUCGUGUCAAGGAAUGACCUGAACAGCUGAGGAAGAUGCUCCAUGGAUGCCAACACUUGCUCGUCUCCCCUGCCUUGGACCCCAACUUUCCAAACCGCACUUCUCUUCCCUUUGCAUGUCUAGAAGAUGGCCUGGGCCAUAGUUAGGAGUUCAGCAUUGGGAGGUUAUAUUCUCUGAGCAGCAAGACCAACACCUGAGGCCCCUCUAGUCCUGAUUGUAUCCUGUGUUGUCAGGGAGAACAGUGUCUGGCGUCCUGUCGAUCUUUCUAGAAGGGAAGAGUAAAAGCAUUGAGAUGGCAAGCGUGUGGACCAGGCAGGCAGGAUGCUAGCCUCCCUCUGCGCCAGCCCGCUAGGCAGUGGCUACGUCUUCCCAGGGCUAAGGAGAUUCCCGCUUCCCAGAGUGCCACUGUGCCCUGCAGCAAGGCGAGACGGGGGGAGCUGUCCGGGGCCCGGCUUCCUCCCCCAGCACAGACGCCUCAGUGACCGCUCCGGGCUGGCCGCGAUGUGUGUACCUUUGCUGUCUGCACCCAGCCUCGGACUCGCCCCCAGGAACCCAGGCAGAGGAUAAACCUCACCCCUGCCUCUGGGAGCCCGGUCGGGGUGCAUUAGGCCAGUGCACAGAGCAGCUGGGGUGCGGAGAAAAGGAUAGUGGACUUGGAGACUGACUCCAAGUGCCUGAACACUCUCUGGCCUCAGCUUUCUCAUCCACAAAAUGGGACCAUAAACCUUGAUUCAGAGAGGCAGGGCAGUAGAGGGCAGCAGCCCAGCCUGUCUGGAUUUUGAUCUUGGCUCCCCCGCUUGUAAGCUGUGCUUUUCCCAGAAAAUUACUUUAUCUCUCUGAUCCUCAGGUUGCUUUACUGUAAAAAGGGUGGUAAUGAUGGUACCUGGACCUCAUAGAGUUAUUGUGGAGACGAAAACAAAAUAAAGUGAGUAAAGUGCUUAGCCUGUCCCGUGGCAAACUAUGAAUGCUUGGUCUUCUUAUUUCUGGAGUUGGUUGUUUGUUCCUUCUGGGGAGUUUGUUGGAGCUGCAGGUGCAAAAGCAAAAAGACCAGUGAGAAUUGAACAGACAUUUUGAGAGAUGUCGGGAGAAUUAGCUGAGGUGACGCAUGUGGAGGACCCAGCCCUGUGCUCGGGGAGCCGAUAGCGUCAGUCCUGCUCGCUAACCCCUCUCUCCUGCCGACAAACUAACAACCAUGAGAGUUAACCCUUACAUAGCGUGUACUAUGUGCCAGGCAUUGUUCUGAGCACUGUGUAAAUGUUGAUUCACUUAAUUUCAUGAUACAUGAAGUGUGUAUCAUUAUUAUCCUCAUUUUACAGAGGAGGAAACUGAGUCACAGGGAACUUACGUAACUUGCCAAGGGUACACAGAUGUUGAAUGGUGGAGCCAGGAUUAUGAACCUGGUAGUCUGCUCGUCAGGCGCUUGCUUUGAACUGCCCCACCAGACAGUUUCUCGGAUGGCAGGCUCUGACCUUGACUUUACCGUCUACCCUCCUGUCUACUGGCUACAAGCCCAUGCUGCCUACAAGAUUGCAACCCUAAGAGUCACCUGUCCAAGCUCAACUCACCUACCUGACUCAAUUCAACUCAACUCAGUUCAACUCAACUCAGCUCAGCUCAACUCAACUCAGUUCAACUCAACUCAACUCAGCUCAGCUCAGCUCAACUCAGUUCAACCCAACUCAACUCAACUCAGCUCAGCCCAACUCAACUCAACUCAACUCAGUUCAACUCAACUCAGCUCAACUCAGCUCAGCUCAACUCAGUUCAACUCAACUCAACUCAACUCAGCUCAGCCCAACUCAGCUCAACUCAACUCAGUUCAACUCAACUCGACUCAACUCAACUCAACUUAGCUCAGCUCAACUCAACUCAGUUCAACUCAACUCAACUCAGCUCAGCUCAGCUCAACUCAGUUCAACUCAACUCAACUCAACUCAGCUCAGCCCAACUCAGCUCAACUCAACUCAGUUCAACUCAACUCAGCUCAACUCAGCUCAACUCAAGCACAAUGUGUCCAGGAGAUCUUAGGCCAGUUGUGUGACUCCAAUGAAUGAUGCAAAAUUUGGGGGUUGUCUUUCAUGCUUGUUCCAUUCCUAUUGUUCUGAUGGGAAUCUUAUCUCCCCCAUUCACAUGGAAUAAUACCAAGACAUUACGUGCACAUAGCACUGUACAGUUUAGAAAUCCUUCUACACAUGUAGCUUAUUUAUAAUGUAUGUUUUCUAAGCCAAGUCUGCUUGGAAGUGAAGCAAAAGGGAG
This 2800-nucleotide long non-coding RNA is filed under the name Equus caballus (horse). Its description in RNAcentral is "lncRNA (ENSECAG00000041086.2)". The record is from RNAcentral. Lineage: Eukaryota; Metazoa; Chordata; Mammalia; Perissodactyla; Equidae.